AUACAGACCUCCCAGGCCCUGGCGUGAAGGUGGCACUGUGACUAGCUCUUGCCGAUGGAAUGGGAGGAGUCAGUUAGAAAUUUUCAUAUGGUCAAAAUACCCAUGGAAUAUAUGAGUGGCAGCAGUAAACAAUCCUUGAAGUUCUUGCUUGUUUAACUUGACUGUUGGUGAUGCCCAAUGAGGCCCUGUCUGCUCCAAGCAAAUUACAUAAAAAAGAUGUGAAUAAAAACUCAUCAAAUACUAACAGAGCCUGUCUUGGAUGUUGAAGAUGAUUCAACCAGGAUGGCAAUAAUGUCAGAGAUCUCAGGCUGACCACUCAGUGGGACUCCCAGCACCCUCCACCCCCAGAAGGUUCAGGAGUACAUGUGAAGUCAACUCCUCACUUUUAAAUGCUGCAAAGUGAGCAAACAUUGACUAGUGUGGCCAGACAUAGACAAUGGUGUAUUUGUGAGUAACGACCAAAUUCAUACAAUCUACUGUAAAUAUAUUUUCGUCUGUGUAUAUACAUAUAUGUGUAUAUAUGAGAAUAUUAAUAUAAAUUACACAUGUAUGUAUGUUAAAUGCACUGCAAAAAAUACAUUCUCUCUCCAUAUUUGUAUGUAUGUACAUAUGACCACUCUCUGACCCCUAAAAAUGAGGCAGUUAAAGAAUAUUUGAUGACAAAGAGAAAUAUUAAAAUAUUAAGUUGAAAAAGUUUUGGAAACAAUAUCAUAUAGUAUAAUCCCAUUUUGGAAAAUUUAUAUGUAUACACAUAUAUAUAAAACAUGUGUAGAAAAAAUGAGGAUAUAUAACAGUAUGUGACCAGUGGUUAUGUCCAUGCGGUGGAAUUAUUGGUGAUUUGUUUUCUUUCUGCUUUUUUUUUUGCGUUUCUUCAAUAAACAUGUAUUAUUUUUAUAGUCAGAAAAAGAUCCCAUGACAAAUGUGAAUUAUUGGUGAUUUGUUUUCUUUCUGCUUUUUUUUUUUUGCAUUUCUUCAAUAAACAUGUAUUAUUUUUAUAGUCAGAAAAA
Long non-coding RNA from Homo sapiens (human), 1007 nucleotides. Ensembl annotates it as long intergenic non-protein coding RNA 2119. The record is from Ensembl. Lineage: Eukaryota; Metazoa; Chordata; Mammalia; Primates; Hominidae.